Molecule: ribosomal RNA, 863 nt
Filed under: Proteus vulgaris
Lineage: Bacteria; Pseudomonadati; Pseudomonadota; Gammaproteobacteria; Enterobacterales; Morganellaceae
Description: bacterial SSU rRNA
Rfam family: Bacterial small subunit ribosomal RNA
Source: RNAcentral
UUGAGAAUUUUGGGAGGGAAAUACCCGGUGGGCGGAAAGGGCGGGCCCCCCCUGGAACAAAAGAACUGACCGCUUCAGGGUGCGAAAAGCGGUGGGGGAGGCAAAACAGGGAUUUAGAUACCCCUGGUAGUUCCACGACUGUAAACGAUGUCGAUUUUAGAGGGUUGUGGGUCUUUGAAACCGUGGGCUUCUGGAGGCUAACGCGGUUAAAAUUGGCCCGCCUGGGGAGGUACGGCCGCAAGGUUAAAACUCAAAUGAAUGGACGGGGGCCCGCACAAGCGGUGGAGCAUGUGGUUUAAUUCGAUGCAACGCGAAGAACCUUACCUACUCUUGACAUCCAGAGAAUCCUUUAGAGAUAGAGGAGUGCCUUUGGGAACUUUGAGACAGGUGCUGCAUGGCUGUCGUCAACUCGUGUUGUGAAAUGUUGGGUUAAGUCCCGCAACGAGCGCAACCCUUAUCCUUUGUUGCCAGCGCGUAAUGGUGGGAACUCAAAGGAGGCUGCCGGUGAUAAACCGGAGGAAGGUGGGGAUGACGUCAAGUUAUCAUGGCUCUUACGAGUAGGGCUACACACGUGCUACAAUGGCAGAUACAAAGAGAAGCGACCUCGCGAGAGCAAGCGGAACUCAUAAAAUCUGUUGUAGUUCGGAUUGGAGUUUGCAACUCGACUCCAUGAAGUCGGAAUCGCUAGUAAUCGUAGAUCAGAAUGGUACGGUGAAUACGUUCCCGGGCCUUGUACACACCGCCCGUCACCCCAUGGGAGUGGGUUGCAAAAGAAGUAGGUAGCUUAACCUUCGGGAGGGCGCUUACACACAUUGUGAUUCAUGAGUUGGGGGGAAGUUGUUAACAAGGGAAGGCAAAACCCC